UUGUAUCGUAAUGUACUAUUUUUCCCUGGGCUGCCAAACCACUCGCAAGGUUUGAUGGAUCAGAUAUUGGUAAAAAGGCAUUCGGAUUUUUAACAUAAUUAUACCAAAAAAAAAAAAAAAAGAAAUUCAAAAGCGAAAGUGGCGGCUAUUCUUUACAAACUUUGACUAUGAAUUCAUAUUAAGAUACCUGUGGGGUUUUCAGAUAUCAUUUUUUGUUAUGAUUAGAACUAAUAUUCCGUCGGACGUACCGUUUUUGAUCUACAAUCAUAAAACUAAAAAGAGCAAAAAUAUAUGCACACCUCCUUGUGUACCUUACCCCAUCUACCACUAAACUAAUUAACUAAAAUUCAACCAGGAUUAAAUAAAAAUAGGAAAAUAAAUAAAUUUGGCCAUGUGAUCGUCUAGUGUAUUUACGUUGUAAACCUUAGUACCCUUCGUCUUUUAUGUGAAAACUGAUACGAUUUGGAUUUUCCAAAACUAUCCCUAACUAUCCUAUGAAUUUGUAAAUAUUCCUACUGUAUAUUUUUAUUAACACUAUUGUUAGACAAAUAAAAAAAAUAGUAAAUAAUAUAUAUUUUUUAGAAUUUAUCUCCUACCGGGCCCUACCGUGACCAGUUACCGUGAACAGUAACGAGAAGAAACGCCAAGAAACUCAUCUGAAUGUACUAUUAAUGUAUGGAAUACUGAAAACAAUCGUCUAUUAAAUAUGACUUUAUUUACCCUUUAAUUCCCCAGUUAUAGAAAAGCUCAAUUGUCACUAGUGAACUGCUCCGCCGGUCACUAGCUCCCUAUAACAAAAUUAUUUAGUAUGUCCUCAAAUAACUUUGUUCCCCUAUCUCACCCAAUGUAAAAAUAUAUAAACCUUCAAUCAUAUUUAAUGUACGAGCCUCAGUAACCCAUCCAUAUGCUACUGAAGAUAGGUUUUAAUUUAUUUUGUAAUUAAAACAGUUAAAAACUCUAAUGAUUUUAGUUUCGUAUACAAUCAAACUAAAUGUGAAAGAAAAUAAAUAAACCUAACACCCAAAUAAUGACUCUACCCUAACUCUACCCCAAAUUCACCUAUUCUAAUGUGUGUAAAACUAGAGGCGAACCUCUAUUUUCACAGGGAGGAGUGUGUGUGAGGGACCCUAAUUUAAGCUCUAAACGUUCGGCCGACAAAACCGAGGUAUAGCAAACCCUAGUGUCUGUGUGAUUGCCUCCCUCCAUCUGUGUUAGCCGAAGCCUGGGUACAGAUGAAUAAGGCGCCCUAACCAUGUAUAUAAUGUGUAUAAAUAAAUAUAUUUAACAAGACAAC
This is a long non-coding RNA of Cydia pomonella (codling moth), 1294 nucleotides long. RefSeq lists it as uncharacterized. The record is from RefSeq and is a predicted model, not a curated record. NCBI's taxonomy places the organism in Eukaryota, Metazoa, Arthropoda, Insecta, Lepidoptera, Tortricidae. The transcript has 2 exons.